Molecule: transfer RNA, 71 nt
Filed under: Marmota monax (woodchuck)
Lineage: Eukaryota; Metazoa; Chordata; Mammalia; Rodentia; Sciuridae
Rfam family: tRNA
About the family: Transfer RNA (tRNA) molecules are approximately 80 nucleotides in length. Their secondary structure includes four short double-helical elements and three loops (D, anti-codon, and T loops). Further hydrogen bonds mediate the characteristic L-shaped molecular structure. tRNAs have two regions of fundamental functional importance: the anti-codon, which is responsible for specific mRNA codon recognition, and the 3' end, to which the tRNAs corresponding amino acid is attached (by aminoacyl-tRNA synthetases). tRNAs cope with the degeneracy of the genetic code in two manners: having more than one tRNA (with a specific anti-codon) for a particular amino acid; and 'wobble' base-pairing, i.e. permitting non-standard base-pairing at the 3rd anti-codon position.
Source: Rfam by way of RNAcentral
GUGGGUGUAGCUCAGUGGUAGAGUACUUGCCUCGCAUGCUUGAGGCACUGGGUUCAAUCCUCAGCACCACA